Molecule: long non-coding RNA, 299 nt
Filed under: Malus domestica (apple)
Lineage: Eukaryota; Viridiplantae; Streptophyta; Magnoliopsida; Rosales; Rosaceae
Description: long non-coding RNA (MDOM_LNC008352)
Source: RNAcentral
CACAUGACAAGCAGGCAUGAGGUGAAGGUGACGACUUGUUGCUUUGUUCAAUCUUUCUAAUUCACACCCGAGCAGUUUGGUCAACGGUAUGAUCUUCAAGAUUGAUGGGCUAUUCUUCCAGUUGGUGACUUGAUCUUUUAAGGAUUUGAUUCAAGGGUGGUGAAUCGGCACGUGCAGCGCACAACGCCUAGUAAGCCGACCCAAGAAUUUGAGGGUCAAAACGGAUUCGCCGUCAGAGUGAUUGCAACUUUGAUGAUAUGAGAUACUCUUGCUUUUGAAGAAGUAGCGGAUGAAUCAGC